GAUGAACGCUAGCGAUAGGCCUAACACAUGCAAGUCGAGGGGCAUCACAUGAAGUAGCAAUACGGAUGGUGGCGACCGGCGCACGGGUGAGUAAACACGUAUGCAACCUGCCUUCAACAAGGGGAUAACCCGUUGAAAGACGGACUAAUACCCUAUAACACAGGGGUCCCGCAUGGGAAUAUUUGUUAAAGGACAACCGGUUGAAGAUGGGCAUGCGUUCCAUUAGCUAGUUGGCGGGGUAACGGCCCACCAAGGCAACGAUGGAUAGGGGAACUGAGAGGUUUAUCCCCCACACUGGUACUGAGACACGGACCAGACUCCUACGGGAGGCGGCAGUGAGGAAUAUUGGUCAAUGGACGCAAGUCUGAACCAGCCACGUCGCGUGAAGGAAGACGGCCCUACGGGUUGUAAACUUCUUUUAUACGGGAAUAAAGUGCCCCACGCGUGGGGUUUUGCAUGUACCGUAUGAAUAAGGAUCGGCUAACUCCGUG
Molecule: ribosomal RNA, 491 nt
Filed under: uncultured bacterium
Lineage: Bacteria
Description: bacterial SSU rRNA
Rfam family: Bacterial small subunit ribosomal RNA
Source: RNAcentral